RNAcentral lists this long non-coding RNA (3102 nucleotides) under Sus scrofa (pig). RNAcentral describes it as "lncRNA (ENSSSCG00000054555.1, ENSSSCG00105007897.1, ENSSSCG00130002336.1)". The record is from RNAcentral. Lineage: Eukaryota; Metazoa; Chordata; Mammalia; Artiodactyla; Suidae.
ACCAGGAGAUGCCCAGGCUGCCUUGGCAUUCCUAUUUCAAAACAUUUCUUUAAGGGGUAAUAAUGUUUUUUCUUUCCUCUAGGGGGCUGAAAUAUACACAUGCCUUCUCAGAGACCUUUCUUCAGCUUCAGGAAUAGGCUGGGUUUGGGGAAUACCUGGACUCCUAUAAAGCUGUCACCCUAGAGGACAAUGGCUCUGACAUCCCCAGGCAGGAGAGAUUACAUGUCUUUCAGCACUUGUCACCAGCCUUCAGGACAGGCCCAGUGAACAAGAACAUAAGGGAAGAACAGGUGCUCUAGAGAGAUGAGGAUUUAGCAAAGUCUGAUAACAUAAGUUCACGAAACUUUUUUCCCCCACAAUUGUUAACGCAUUUGAUCCUCACACAAUGCUGUGAAGCCAGCAAAGUAAAGAUGAUCGUUCUCAUUGCAUCUCAUUGUAUAAACAAGGCAAGGAUUCUAUCUGCCCAGGUCACAGACCUGGCACAAACCUAGUGGAACUGGAACCUAGGCACCUCAAGUGCAUCCAGAUAUAUACAAGCUCCCCAAACAGAGGACUGAGCUCCUUGAAUAGUGAGGAGCUCAAGAACAUUCUGGAAAAUAUGAGGCAGAUAUGAUAUCCCCAAACCCAGGCUUAGACGAUAUCUAAGGCCAGCUUUUUCAUUUUAUAGGUAAGGUCUAAUUUGGUUGAAUGAUUGACCCAAAAUUAACCAUUAAAUUCAUGUAAAAGUCAGGUCUCCUAACUCCCAGUCCAGUGCUCUUUUCCACCCACGAAGAUGACAGCUUCUUCCAUUCAGUCUGGUUUAAACAAACAAAAAUCUAGAAAUCAAUGAGAUAGAUUAGGAUCCACUCACCCUGACGAAGCUGGAGGUUCAAAUAAAUGUCAGAUGAAACUGGUAUCUGCAGAUGGAUUAAUUAUAAUUAAAAGACUCUCCCUUGUAAAACAGAAAAGACUGAGAAGAAGUCUGAUAUGAAGAAGCACUGGAUUCAGAAUUCAUAUGUCCUCAUUUGCCUGCUAGCCCUGCCUCUCCCUACAGAAUGGUUCUGGAAGCCUGGCUGAGGAUCAGUUUCUUCAUUUGUGAUAACCACAGCAAACAGUGCUUUACUUCAAUGGGCUUGUAAGAGAAAGUAUUUAAAUUAAUAGUUGGGAAAGUUCAUUGCAAAUGCUGAAAAGGUAUUUUCAUUCUUACUGCUACGAUUUUGCUUUCCUGAAUUCCUGGGCUAACUGCCCUUCCUUUUCUCCUGAUUUUUGUUUUUGUGUAUGUGGCCCAGGCUAGCUGUCCAGUGUGAUGAUAAAAGGCCAUGGCAUAAUAACUCCCAGAUUACAACUUAAAAUUGUUCUUUUCCACCCAUAUGCCUCAAACAAGAGAGUGAAUGUAUACAAGUAGCCCAGAAUGUGGAACAAAGUUACCUCUGAGAUAUUGAAAAACAAUGCCUAAUAAAUAAGCUGAGCAGCUGGAAUCUGUCCCCUGUGGACAGAUACUUCAAGAUAAAGAUAAUGGCAGGAGCAAGGAGGGGCGGAUUCCAGCCCCGGUAAAAGAUAAGGAGACCACAUGUUUCUCAUUCUUGAAGUCAAGGAGACCUCCCAAAUUACACAUGUGCAGAAAGGUUCCUCAGGGGUCAGGGAAUGGAGGGGGCACCAGACCAUAAUAGGUUCUGUCAACUUCUCAGAAACCCUUGCACUAGAAUCCAUCUUGGCUAAAAGAUGCACUUGCACCCAGGGGAGGGCCCUGAGUCAAGCCAAAUAUGGACUCAAAGCCAGACAAAGAAAGACGACUGGCCAUAAAGGAAUUCAGGAGACUGCCACCAUACAGGUGAUUUAAACUACCCUAAAAGCAUACAGCUCUUUCUCUGAGCCCACCCAUGUGUCUAUCUGCAUGGACUUUUUCUAAUAAACACUUUACUUGUUUUGCUACUUUAUGUCUCUUUGCUGAACUCUUGCCUCCAAGCAGACAAAGAGCCAGAGCCCUUCUCCUAUCCAUUGACUCUUGUGGUCUAGUGGUUAGGAUUCAGUGUUCUCACCACCACAAACUGGGUUCUAUCUCCGGUCAGGGAACUGAGAUCCUGCUUCAAACGGCUGCACUCACAGCCAUCUGAGACCAUUAGUAGAGCUAAAACUGAAGAAGCAAGGAAAAUGGAGAACUCCCGAAUCAAGAGUUUGUCAAGGCGUCUCCAGCCCUGUCCAGGGUAGAGGAUUCUUAAACACCUGAGCUCCAGGAGUGGAGACAAAUCCAUAAGGGUCUCAGAAGCUAAGGACACUAGUUCUUUAGAUCCAGAAAACUCACUGGCAUUGAGGCCUUGCUCACCAAUUAAAAAACAAAACAAAACAAAACAAAAAACAUUACACUAUACUCAAUUUUGCUUUAAGUGAAUAAACCAGCAAUGGCUAUACAUUAGCUUUGCGUGAGCUUGGAUCACAAAUGGUUAGUCCUCCUGACCUUAGUUGUUCUGGGAAGAGAUAGGAGAGGAACAGAUAGGAGACCUCACCUGUUUCCCAGGGGCUUGUGGUAAGGAUGCUAUGAACAGUAAGUUACAGACCCAAGACCACCAGAAGAUAAGGCGUGUAACUUGCUACCUGUAGCAUCCUCAUCACAGCCACCAGUAAGCAGGACUAGAUUAUACAUGACAGAAGGCAGCCUGGGUGGUAGGAGUAACUCCCUUUUCUCUGUGCUUAAAAUCAGUGAGACCUUAACCAGAAAGUAUCCUAACUUGAUUUUCCUUUCAAAAAUAUUUUUUAAAAAAAAGUAGGCAAAGAUAUGCAGACAACACUAACCAUUUUUUAAAAUUAGAUUAUGCUCUAUGUAAGGUACAAGUUAAACCCAAUUCUCCCUUCUCUCUGAGGCAUUUCUGAAAAUGCCUAAGAAAUAGUGAGGGAAGUGCAAAAAAAGCAGAGACUUAAUGAUAUUUUAUACACUCUAUUGCUAAAUUCAAAACAUGAACAAGUAUAUUGAAAGAAAAAACAUUUCAAUUAGGGUAGUUGGAAUUAAAGGAAUUAUAUUACCUUUUAAUUAACCAGAAAACUCCAUUAACCAAAGUCACUUAUUCACCAUGCUUUUCAGUUGGUGAACAUUUUGGUAAAAUGUAAUAAUAUAAUUAUACAUCAGAG